UGGGUAAGUGUAAAAUUAAGCUGUACUUGUCUUUCAUGUCAAAAUUGUGUAUGAUUGCAAAAUAAGCAGAAUAUGUAUGUUGCCGUCAUGAACUCAUGUUACAAUCCUAAUCAUGGAAUCGAUUUGAUCAUCAAAUUAUAGAUUAUAAGUUCAUAACCUAUAUGAGCUCAAUCAAGUUCAUAACCUAUAUGAGCUCAAUCAAGUUCAUAACCUAUAUGAGCUCAGUCGAGGAAACAAUGGUUAACAUUUAGGAGCUGUUUCUGCUAAUAUCAAACUGUACUUGCAGAA
RNAcentral lists this long non-coding RNA (288 nucleotides) under Cicer arietinum (chickpea). Its description in RNAcentral is "long non-coding RNA (CARI_LNC000159)". Lineage: Eukaryota; Viridiplantae; Streptophyta; Magnoliopsida; Fabales; Fabaceae. The record is from RNAcentral.